This 253-nucleotide ribosomal RNA is filed under the name uncultured bacterium. RNAcentral describes it as "partial 16S ribosomal RNA". It matches the Rfam family "Bacterial small subunit ribosomal RNA", at positions 524 to 776 of the family's 1533-position model. The record is from RNAcentral.
UACGUAGGAUGCAAGCGUUAUCCGGAUUUACUGGGUGUAAAGGGAGCGCAGGCGGGACUUCAAGUUGGAUGUGAAAUACCGGGGCUCAACCCCGGAGCUGCAUCCAAAACUGUAGUUCUUGAGUGGAGUAGAGGCAAGCGGAAUUCCGAGUGUAGCGGUGAAAUGCGUAGAUAUUCGGAGGAACACCAGUGGCGAAGGCGCCUUGCUGGGCUCUAACUGACGCUGAGGCUCGAAAGUGUGGGGAGCAAACAGG